Molecule: ribosomal RNA, 214 nt
Filed under: uncultured bacterium
Lineage: Bacteria
Description: partial 16S ribosomal RNA
Rfam family: Bacterial small subunit ribosomal RNA
Source: RNAcentral
AACGUAGGUGGCAAGCGUUAUCCGGAAUUACUGGGCGUAAAGGGUGUGCAGGCGGGGUUGCAAGUGGUGUAUGAAAUAUCCCAGCUUAACUGGGAGGGGUUAUGCCAGACUGCAACUCUGGAGGACGAGAGAGGGGGGUGGAAUUCCGGGUGUAGUGGUGAAAUGCGUAGAGAUCCGGAAGGAACCCCAGAGGCGAAGGCGGCCCCCUGGGUCA